GCAAAUCUUGGACUUCAAGUCAGUAUUUAUUCCCUGUGAUUUGCAUCCUUGAUGGAGGCUUUCCAGAGCAGCUGCUACUGACCUCUUAAUAUGGCUGGCAAUAAAUUUUAGGAAGGAAGAACAUUGGCAAAAUCAUGUUAGACAAUGCACUUCACAGCCAGUCAGAGAAAAUUGGAAGAAAUCAUAUUUUAUCAGAACAUUGAUCAAAAUGGAAGCGCUGCAAGAAGAAAAAAAAGGAUGAGAAGACAUUAUACAUGCAAGCCAGAAGGAUAUUUUGAUAUUUUAAAAACAUGUCUCCCAGCCUUCCUGGAUCAAAAGAUUUCAAGUCUCUGCUUUGAACUUUCAUUUCUAUUUAAACUAUUGUAUGAGUCUUUCAUUUUAUACUUUUAAAAAAUCAGGAUUUGCAACAAAAAAUCAGAAUUUUACUUUCUGUGUCACUGUCUGUCAGUACUUCAAGAGACUGAUUUGUCCCUUCAGGGAAUGAUUUUUCCAUUACACAGCUAUAAUGCCUUUAGAUUAAAUAAGGUUCCAUUUCAAAUAACUAAGUAACAAGAGGAAGGUCCAAGCUGUUAAUGGCUCACUUCUGGUAUAACUUCAGGACUAUACAACCUUAGAAUUAAAAUUUUAAAAAAAGAAAGAAAUCAGAAAAUUUCCAGGAGGAUUGAAAGUAGGCAAAAUUUAAUGUUCUUAAAACCCUUAAUUGCACAGUUUUUGCCUCUGCUAAAGACUUACAUAUGCAAGCCUAGCUUCACACAACAGAGGGUAGACCUUAGUAAUGCACUAAAAUCAGCAGUUCAGGCCCUUGAAGGUAGAACAAGAUCUGGUUAAUCCAGGCUUCUCAGCAGCGCUGUUCUUGUACUUAUAAAACUACUCUUACAGUAGUUUUAGCUCUACUGGGGGUAAAUUCUUCUGUUUUCCAUUAAUAUAAAUAAAAGGCAAGCAAAGGCUGGAGAAGUCAGCAAGAGAUGCACUUGGACAAAUCUCAUUAUUGCUCAUCAUUAAUAUAAACAGGAUCCAUUUUGUAUACAGGUGAGCUGUAUUUGACCCACACUAAGAAAACAUAUUUGUUUUGGCAACAAUGUG
Cyanistes caeruleus (blue tit) is the source of this 1083-nucleotide non-coding RNA. The record is from RefSeq and is a predicted model, not a curated record. Lineage: Eukaryota; Metazoa; Chordata; Aves; Passeriformes; Paridae.